RNAcentral lists this ribosomal RNA (2142 nucleotides) under Escherichia coli. Its description in RNAcentral is "partial 23S ribosomal RNA". It matches the Rfam family "Bacterial large subunit ribosomal RNA", at positions 1 to 2157 of the family's 2925-position model. Lineage: Bacteria; Pseudomonadati; Pseudomonadota; Gammaproteobacteria; Enterobacterales; Enterobacteriaceae. The record is from RNAcentral.
GGGUUGUGAGGUUAAGCGACUAAGCGUACACGGUGGAUGCCCUGGCAGUCAGAGGCGAUGAAGGACGUGCUAAUCUGCGAUAAGCGUCGGUAAGGUGAUAUGAACCGUUAUAACCGGCGAUUUCCGAAUGGGGAAACCCAGUGUGUUUCGACACACUAUCAUUAACUGAAUCCAUAGGUUAAUGAGGCGAACCGGGGGAACUGAAACAUCUAAGUACCCCGAGGAAAAGAAAUCAACCGAGAUUCCCCCAGUAGCGGCGAGCGAACGGGGAGCAGCCCAGAGCCUGAAUCAGUGUGUGUGUUAGUGGAAGCGUCUGGAAAGGCGCGCGAUACAGGGUGACAGCCCCGUACACAAAAAUGCACAUGCUGUGAGCUCGAUGAGUAGGGCGGGACACGUGGUAUCCUGUCUGAAUAUGGGGGGACCAUCCUCCAAGGCUAAAUACUCCUGACUGACCGAUAGUGAACCAGUACCGUGAGGGAAAGGCGAAAAGAACCCCGGCGAGGGGAGUGAAAAAGAACCUGAAACCGUGUACGUACAAGCAGUGGGAGCACGCUUAGGCGUGUGACUGCGUACCUUUUGUAUAAUGGGUCAGCGACUUAUAUUCUGUAGCAAGGUUAACCGAAUAGGGGAGCCGAAGGGAAACCGAGUCUUAACUGGGCGUUAAGUUGCAGGGUAUAGACCCGAAACCCGGUGAUCUAGCCAUGGGCAGGUUGAAGGUUGGGUAACACUAACUGGAGGACCGAACCGACUAAUGUUGAAAAAUUAGCGGAUGACUUGUGGCUGGGGGUGAAAGGCCAAUCAAACCGGGAGAUAGCUGGUUCUCCCCGAAAGCUAUUUAGGUAGCGCCUCGUGAAUUCAUCUCCGGGGGUAGAGCACUGUUUCGGCAAGGGGGUCAUCCCGACUUACCAACCCGAUGCAAACUGCGAAUACCGGAGAAUGUUAUCACGGGAGACACACGGCGGGUGCUAACGUCCGUCGUGAAGAGGGAAACAACCCAGACCGCCAGCUAAGGUCCCAAAGUCAUGGUUAAGUGGGAAACGAUGUGGGAAGGCCCAGACAGCCAGGAUGUUGGCUUAGAAGCAGCCAUCAUUUAAAGAAAGCGUAAUAGCUCACUGGUCGAGUCGGCCUGCGCGGAAGAUGUAACGGGGCUAAACCAUGCACCGAAGCUGCGGCAGCGACGCUUAUGCGUUGUUGGGUAGGGGAGCGUUCUGUAAGCCUGUGAAGGUGUGCUGUGAGGCAUGCUGGAGGUAUCAGAAGUGCGAAUGCUGACAUAAGUAACGAUAAAGCGGGUGAAAAGCCCGCUCGCCGGAAGACCAAGGGUUCCUGUCCAACGUUAAUCGGGGCAGGGUGAGUCGACCCCUAAGGCGAGGCCGAAAGGCGUAGUCGAUGGGAAACAGGUUAAUAUUCCUGUACUUGGUGUUACUGCGAAGGGGGGACGGAGAAGGCUAUGUUGGCCGGGCGACGGUUGUCCCGGUUUAAGCGUGUAGGCUGGUUUUCCAGGCAAAUCCGGAAAAUCAAGGCUGAGGCGUGAUGACGAGGCACUACGGUGCUGAAGCAACAAAUGCCCUGCUUCCAGGAAAAGCCUCUAAGCAUCAGGUAACAUCAAAUCGUACCCCAAACCGACACAGGUGGUCAGGUAGAGAAUACCAAGGCGCUUGAGAGAACUCGGGUGAAGGAACUAGGCAAAAUGGUGCCGUAACUUCGGGAGAAGGCACGCUGAUAUGUAGGUGAAGUCCCUCGCGGAUGGAGCUGAAAUCAGUCGAAGAUACCAGCUGGCUGCAACUGUUUAUUAAAAACACAGCACUGUGCAAACACGAAAGUGGACGUAUACGGUGUGACGCCUGCCCGGUGCCGGAAGGUUAAUUGAUGGGGUUAGCGGUAACGCGAAGCUCUUGAUCGAAGCCCCGGUAAACGGCGGCCGUAACUAUAACGGUCCUAAGGUAGCGAAAUUCCUUGUCGGGUAAGUUCCGACCUGCACGAAUGGCGUAAUGAUGGCCAGGCUGUCUCCACCCGAGACUCAGUGAAAUUGAACUCGCUGUGAAGAUGCAGUGUACCCGCGGCAAGACGGAAAGACCCCGUGAACCUUUACUAUAGCUUGACACUGAACAUUGAGCCUUGAUGUGUAGGAUAGGUGGGAGGCUU